AUUGAACGCUGGCGGCAUGCCUAACACAUGCAAGUCGAACGAGUGGCGGACGGGUGAGUAAUGUCUGGGAAACUGCCCGAUGGAGGGGGAUAACUACUGGAAACGGUAGCUAAUACCGCAUACCAUCGGAUGUGCCCAGAUGGGAUUAGCUAGUUGGUGGGGGAACGGCUCACCUAGGCGACGAUCCCUAGCUGGUCUGAGAGGAUGACCAGCCACACUGGAACUGGGAGACGGUCCAGAGUCCUACGGGAGGAAGCGGUGGGGAAUGUUGGGCAAUGGGCGAAAGCCUGAUGCAGCCAUGCAGCGUGUAUGAAGAAGGCCUGCGGGUUGUAAAGUACUUUCAGCGGGGAGGCGGUACUCGCAGAAGAAGCACCGGCUAACUCCGUGUCAGCAGCCGCGGUAAUUC
Molecule: ribosomal RNA, 406 nt
Filed under: uncultured bacterium
Lineage: Bacteria
Description: partial 16S ribosomal RNA
Rfam family: Bacterial small subunit ribosomal RNA
Source: RNAcentral